Molecule: non-coding RNA, 23 nt
Filed under: Arabidopsis thaliana (thale cress)
Lineage: Eukaryota; Viridiplantae; Streptophyta; Magnoliopsida; Brassicales; Brassicaceae
Source: RNAcentral
GCAUUGUCAUCACACGGUAUUCC